UGGACGUGGAUCUUCAUAUAAACACCAGCAGAUUGAAGAUACCGUUGCCAUCUCGCCUCUCAUGUGCUAACAAAGAAGUUUGGAUCUCACCAAUGAGCCAGGAAUGGUGAAGCACAUAGGAGACUUCAUGCCAGUGUCUUUGGGACCUCAGACAGACAGUCUAAGGUCUUCAGGACCUUCUACAAACAGACGGACAAGGCUGGCGACAGUGUGACCUAUACUGCUGCGAAAAGAAUGCAUCAUUGGACUGUACUUCUGAACUGGAUAGUAAUUCAUACUGUAUCUCAACAUUUGGCAGCGCUGCAGGACCUCAUCUUAUGGACCACUAUAGGAUCGUGCGAUCUAGCACAAGGACGCCAGAAGCUGCCCGCUAUCCAGAACCAGCCCGUGCCAGCCUGCACCAGCACUCUUAAGACCGCACCAACCAAGUUUACUCACCUAUCUCCACCAAGGGCUGGACAACUCCGUGCCAGUGCCGAACGCUGCCCUCACUGCUGAGACCACCAGCUACAAGGAAGCCAGCUACAGACCAUGAGUAACGAGUACAUUUUGCGGAUUGCAGCUUCAAGUCAAGAAUACAGACCAGUGGGUGGAGAUAAUUUAAUUUGACCAGGCUUAAGCUCCCAGCGUUUUUAGUGUCCUUCAAACAACUUUGCUAAAAAAACUACACCAUCCGCAGCAGGGAUUUUUCCCAAGAGCUAUCUAUUGGAUUAUAGUACCUCUCUUCAGCAUUGGACCCAAUGCAUACCACACCAAUGUGUUGUCUACUGUCAGAACUGUGUGUGGCAGCACCUUGUCAAAGCCAGUGUGUCCUCAGAAAAGAAAAUUUGAUGUUGGCCGCUAGCUACACAUGCUAUACAUUUUAUUUUCUGAAGAUUGUUCCCAGAUCUAUAACUUCAAGAUAAUGUACAAAACAAAAUAACUUCAUACCAAUAUAAAAAAAGAAAACAUUCUUCAUUUUGUAACCAAGGCAGAAAGUGGCCUGGUCCAAUAGGACAUUUCCUCUCUGCAAUAGAAGUACAAAGACAACACUCGAAAACGUAGCUGAAGACAAAAUGUGAAUUGUGUUUUUUGGCACGGCAAUAUCUGAGAACAUUCACAAUGCUUUGGAUGACUGCUAUAAAAAAGGCACUCAUCAAUGUUAUCCCGUAUGUCUGCAAUAGACUGACUACAUUAACCAGGAGUAACACGCCUAACAGGCACAAGAUACAGGAUUUAUUUUCUUUAUUGUAAUGGAUUACUAAAAUGAAAUCUGAUGUCUGCUGGAAACAAGUUGCAUUGAGAUACCAUUAUAUUGUCAAUGUACAGUGCCACACUGCAUCCAUAAGUUAAAUGUAUGAUGCCUACCAUGUUUCCCCGAAAAUACACCCUACCCCGAAAAUAAGCCCUAGCUGGAUUAUCGGGGUGGGCUGCAAUAUAAGCCCUACCCCGAAAAUAAGACCUAGGCCAGUGGUCUUCAAUCUGCGGAACUCUAGAUGUUGCAAAACUACAACUCCCAGCAUGCCUGGAUAGUCGACGGC
Long non-coding RNA from Hyla sarda, 1520 nucleotides. RefSeq lists it as uncharacterized. Lineage: Eukaryota; Metazoa; Chordata; Amphibia; Anura; Hylidae. The transcript has 7 exons. The record is from RefSeq and is a predicted model, not a curated record.